AUACGGAGGGUGCAAGCGUUACUUGGAAUCACUGGGCGUAAAGCGCAUGCAGGCGGUCUAAUAAGUUGGAAGUGAAAGCCUAUGGCUCAACCAUAGAACUGCUUCCAAAACUGUUAGACUAGAGUCUGGGAGGGGAAGAUGGAAUUAGUAGUGUAGGGGUAAAAUCCGUAGAGAUUACUAGGAAUACCAAAAGCGAAGGCGAUCUUCUGGAACAGUACUGACGCUGAGAUGCGAAAGCGUGGGGAGCAAACAGGAUUAGAUACCCUAGUAGUCC
Molecule: ribosomal RNA, 274 nt
Filed under: uncultured bacterium
Lineage: Bacteria
Description: partial 16S ribosomal RNA
Rfam family: Bacterial small subunit ribosomal RNA
Source: RNAcentral